Molecule: microRNA, 19 nt
Filed under: Vriesea carinata
Lineage: Eukaryota; Viridiplantae; Streptophyta; Magnoliopsida; Poales; Bromeliaceae
Description: vca-miR1432-3p
Source: miRBase by way of RNAcentral
GGUGUCACCUCUCCUGGAC